Drosophila biarmipes is the source of this 474-nucleotide long non-coding RNA. RefSeq lists it as uncharacterized. The transcript is spliced from 3 exons. The record is from RefSeq and is a predicted model, not a curated record. Lineage: Eukaryota; Metazoa; Arthropoda; Insecta; Diptera; Drosophilidae.
CGGAAGUUUCAGUGAUAGUGUGUGUGUUGGUGCCUUUGGACAGAUCACUGGAAAUAUGGAGGAGGACCUGGACUCCAGGAUGCAGUGCAUCCAGUUCUAGCUAAAAAUGGAUGCUGUGGCCAAUCGAAAAAACAGUUGACCGGAAGUUCCAGCGAAUGAUUGUGUGUGUUGGUGUUUUUGGACAGAUCACUGGAUAUGUAUGGAUAAAUAUGGAGCUUUUGUUAUGUUUGCUGGAUAUAUAUAUAUAUAUAUAUAUAUAUAUGGGGAAAGUCGUCGUUCAAGACUCCAGAGCAUGGAAAACUUCUUCAGUGUCUCUGUGAAACGCUGCCAAGUUGCUGUCAUGUUAAUCAUGUUGUCAAUAGCCCCAAGGCCUAUGCAAAAAAAUCUGUGCGUACUUAUCGGACAAUUAAAAGCAUUGGUUAAUCCAUUAUUAUUAUGCAACUCUUAUAUGUACACAAAGAUAUAUUACAGAUU